RNAcentral lists this long non-coding RNA (1978 nucleotides) under Sorghum bicolor (sorghum). RNAcentral's name for it is "long non-coding RNA (SBIC_LNC008569)". The record is from RNAcentral. Lineage: Eukaryota; Viridiplantae; Streptophyta; Magnoliopsida; Poales; Poaceae.
UUUCCAGGUAAGUUGUUGCGUUCUUCUUUGUAAAUCCCAAUUUCAAAUCAAUUUUUAUUCCUUUUCUAUUCUGAUCAUUCCACUCUAGGACAAUCAACUAAUCAUUGCUUGAACUGGAGCAGCAAGAACAAGAGUAAGAAGCAAGACACACUGAAUAGAAGGAAAUUGAAAUCUUAUUUUAGGAUGCAUAGAAGUUAAAAUCUUAUUUUUUUGAUGCAUAGAAAUAGACUUCUUUUUCAUCUAAGCUUGAGCCUUUUUUUCUAUGCUUAGGCCUUGUUUAGUUCACCCCAAAAUCAAAAGCUUUUCAAGAUUAGUUAUUCAUGUGUCUUUUUAUUUAUUAUUAGAAUUGAUUUCUAUGCAAUAUUAGAGUACAUUUUUAUACAUUAUCUGAGCAUAUUUCUAUACGUUAUUGUUAGCUUCUUUUUAUGCAUUUUUAGCAUAAUUAUCUGUACACUUGUAUAUAAUUCUAUACUUCGCUGGUACACAAUUCUAUAUAUUGUAUAAAGAAUUUUUUCUAGGAACUCUGAAUUUAUAUUUUAUACAUUGUUAGAACACAAUUUAUGCAUUUGUUGGGGCAUAUUUAUACAUUAUUGUGUCUACGUCAAGGUGAGGGCUGGGGCCAGGACUCUAGGAGGCGUUAGGUGGCCGGAGAAGAAGUUCGACAUGUAGUGCUCUAGGCCAUGGCUCUCACGGGGCGGCCCGGUGCACGAUGCAGUCCAUGACCAUGGCGGAAGGUGAUAAUAUUUUAGAUCGGUAUUCGAUGAAUUGAUCUACCCCUAUUUGCUUUCCUUUUGUGCAUUCAAGAUUGUUGGUUUUGUAGGUACAUUUGCUCAUUCGUGUAUCUAUGUGAUUUGAAUACAAAAUGUGAAUUACAUUUCUAUACAUUAUCGAACUACAUUUCUAUGCAUUAUUAGGACACAUUAAUGGACCUGAUUAGAAUAAAAAUUUGUAUCGUUCACUAUCCAGGCCAAGGAGGCCAUCGCCCCCGCUUCGUCGAUGGGCAUGUGUAUGGGCACGCAUUCCAUGGGGCGAGCAGAUCUGGCCCUAGCGAUGUCAUCUUUGGUCCAGCAGCACGCUCCGUGCAGUGAGCAGUUUCGUGCACAAGGAGAGGGCUGCUUGCUUGUUUCCAGGUAAAUUCCUUGUAAAUCGUAAUUUUAAACCAAUUUCCAUUCCUUCUCUAUUCUGACCAUUCCACUCUAGGACAAUCAAUUAAUCAUUGUUUGAACUGAAGCAGCAAGAACAAGAGGAAGAAGUGAGACACACUGAAUACAUAGAAAUUGAAAUCUUAUUUUAGGAUGCAUAGAAAUUAAAAUCUUAAUUUUUUUAUGCAUAGAAACAUACUUCUUUUUUAUCUAAGCUUGAGGCUUUUUUUCUAUGCUUAACCUUGAUAUAGUUUUUUCUAAAAUUGAAAUAUUAAUUUUUGGGUGCAUAGAAAUUAAAAUCUUAAUUUCUUGGAUGCAUGGAAACAUUUCGGAUACUAGUUCUAGAAAGUUAUAUGUUUGUGCUACUGUGUUUUAUGCUUGCUUGGUUGCAAUUCGAAUGGCUACAAGAGCAACACAAAUUCAUUGAAAAAGUUAUAAUUUUUUCUAGAUCCUGCAUUCCAUCAUGAGCAGAAGGUGGCCGGAGAAAAUUUUUAUGCAUACAUAUAAAAUUUCUGUUUCCCAGCUUGCAUACAAAAAUUUGUAUGCAUACGUAACCUGCCUCAAAUGCAGGCUCUCUGUGACACGGUGAGCAGUAGGCUAGGCCUGAUCCAACAGAGGCAUGGCUUGUGUUCUUGAAUUUUUCUUGUUUUCAAUGGAAGCUAGUUCAUGCUCAUGUUGAUUUUCCAUACAAUUGAAUGACAAGCAAGAAAAUUUUCUAUGCAAAUUAAUUUAAAUUUUUAUGCUUCUUUUCUCAUAUAUGAUGUGUAAUAAAAUUGUUGCUUUAAAAAUACUGAUCAUUGGUUAUUCAUGCAUCUUUUUAUACAUUGUUGAAAAAA